AGCAAACUGAUGCCCUGAUUUGUAAUCAGGGGGCCGCGGGUUCGAUCCCUGCAGCCG
RNAcentral lists this transfer RNA (57 nucleotides) under Porphyrobacter sp. RNAcentral's name for it is "tRNA-Thr". Lineage: Bacteria; Pseudomonadati; Pseudomonadota; Alphaproteobacteria; Sphingomonadales; Erythrobacteraceae. The record is from RNAcentral.